AUGAAAAACUUCAUUAAGUCCCAAGUACAAUCUUGCUUAGUGUGCCAACGAGCUGAACCUGAGAGGGUGCAGUACCCUGGGCUCUUGUCACCCUUGCUAGUUCCUCCUAAAGCAUGGGAUACAGUGUCUAUGGAUUUCAUUUCUGUCCUUCCUUCAUCCUACCAGUACAAUUGCAUUUUGGUAGUCAUUGACAAAUUCUCCAAAUAUGGCCAUUUCAUGGCCCUCACACAUCCUUUUAAUGCCCAAAAAGUCACUGAAGUUUUUCUUGACAAUGUUUAUAAGCUACAUGGUAAGCCCAGCUUGAUCAUUUGGGAUAGAGACCCUAUCUUCACAAGUGCAUUCUGGAAACUCCUUAUUUCCAAAACUGGUGCUGAGUUAAACAUGAGUACAGCUAAUCAUCGUGAGGCUGAUGGCCAGACCGAAAGGGUCAAUCAAUAG
This 438-nucleotide ribosomal RNA is filed under the name Triticum aestivum (bread wheat). RNAcentral describes it as "partial small subunit ribosomal RNA". The record is from RNAcentral. Lineage: Eukaryota; Viridiplantae; Streptophyta; Magnoliopsida; Poales; Poaceae.